AGGACGAACGCUGGCGGCGUGCUUAACACAUGCAAGUCGAACGGUGAAGCCCUUCGGGGUGGAUCAGUGGCGAACGGGUGAGUAACACGUGGGCAAUCUGCCCUGCAUUCUGGGACAAGCCUUGGAAACGAGGUCUAAUACCGGAUACGACGCAUCUCCGCAUGGAGUGUGCGUGGAAAGCUCCGGCGAUGCAGGAUGAGCCCGCGGCCUAUCAGCUUGUUGGUGGGGUAAUGGCCUACCAAAGGCGACGACGGGUA
This 257-nucleotide ribosomal RNA is filed under the name uncultured bacterium. Its description in RNAcentral is "partial small subunit ribosomal RNA". It matches the Rfam family "Bacterial small subunit ribosomal RNA", at positions 26 to 285 of the family's 1533-position model. The record is from RNAcentral.